CACCUUAUGUAGUCCCAAAGCCUUCACGGGCGGCGGUUGACUACGUCUACCUCACACCUUAAAGUAUGUUAACGAAUGUAAUCAUGGUCUUGACAGACCCUAAAAAGUUAAUACAACUUUCGACAACGGAUCUCUUGGCUCUCGCAUCGAUGAAGAACGCAGCGAAAUGCGAUAAGUAAUGUGAAUUGCAGAAUUCAGUGAAUCAUCGAAUCUUUGAACGCACCUUGCGCCCUUUGGUAUUCCGAGGGGCAUGCCUGUUUGAGUGUCAUUAAAUACCAUCAACCCUCUUUUGACUUCGGUCUCGAGAGUGGCUUGGAAGUGGAGGUCUGCUGGAGCCUAACGGAGCCAGCUCCUCUUAAAUGUAUUAGCGGAUUUCCCUUGCGGGAUCGCGUCUCCGAUGUGAUAAUUUCUACGUCGUUGACCAUCUCGGGGCUGACCUAGUCAGUUUCAAUAGGAGUCUGCUUCCAACCGUCUCUUGACCGAGACUAGCGACUUGUGCGCUAACUUUUGACUUGACCUCAAAUCAGGUAGGACUACCCGCUGAACUUAAGCAUA
RNAcentral lists this ribosomal RNA (555 nucleotides) under Schizophyllum commune. Its description in RNAcentral is "eukaryotic LSU rRNA". The stretch from base 115 to 268 matches the Rfam family "5.8S ribosomal RNA". The record is from RNAcentral. Lineage: Eukaryota; Fungi; Basidiomycota; Agaricomycetes; Agaricales; Schizophyllaceae.